Molecule: ribosomal RNA, 253 nt
Filed under: uncultured bacterium
Lineage: Bacteria
Description: partial 16S ribosomal RNA
Rfam family: Bacterial small subunit ribosomal RNA
Source: RNAcentral
GACGAACCGAGCGAACGUUAUUCGGAAUCACUGGGCUUAAAGGGCGCGUAGGCGGGCCUGAAAGUCAGGGGUGAAAGCCCACGGCUCAACCGUGGAAGUGCCUCUGAUACUUCAGGCCUCGAGGGAGGUAGGGGCGUGCGGAACUUCCGGUGGAGCGGUGAAAUGCGUAGAUAUCGGAAGGAACGUCGGUGGCGAAAGCGGCGCGCUGGACCUCUUCUGACGCUGAGGCGCGAAAGCCAGGGGAGCGAACGGG